AUGUCUUCCAGCGACUCCGACGAGGGCGCGUGGCCGACCGGCGUUUGGCCGCUGAGCCUCACCGUCGGCGACACGGAGGAUCUGGCCCGGUUCGGCGUGAUGGUGCCGCCGGCAGCCAAAGUGCCGCGGCCGUGGCGAAUCGGGGCGGACGGCAUUCCCACCAUGGGACCGCCGCCGACGAGGCAGCAGCUCCACGCGUUGCCUGGCGGCCGCUACAACCGGAGGGCCCGGCGCAGGUGGUGGCACGGGAAGAACUUCGACAUCGUCCUCGGCGCGUUCAGGGAUGCGGCGGCCGGCCGCACCGUCGGGGACAUUACCGGCGAGGCCGGCACUUCUCGUGGUCGCCGCCGCCAUGGCCCACCUCCAGCCGCCCCCACUGCCCUGGCACAGCAGGCGCCCCCUGACCCGGCGCUGGUCGAGAUCCCGCCGGCGCAGGCCGCCCUCGCGCAAGACGAAGACCCCGACGACACGCCAGGGCUACUUGCGAUGCUGGCCCAGUCGGCAGAGGAGGCGGCGGCGGUGGCCACUCGUGAGGAACGAGAGCGGCUGGCGGCCAUAGCGGCGGUGCAGGAGCAGCAGGCGUGGGAAGACAACUGGUGGGAUUUUAGCGACGAUGACGACGACGACGAUGGCGGCGACGGCGGCGAAGGAGAGGCCGGCAGUAUGGCGCCGGUCGUCGACCUCACCGGCGCCAGCGACGACGAGUAG
RNAcentral lists this ribosomal RNA (708 nucleotides) under Triticum aestivum (bread wheat). Its description in RNAcentral is "partial small subunit ribosomal RNA". Lineage: Eukaryota; Viridiplantae; Streptophyta; Magnoliopsida; Poales; Poaceae. The record is from RNAcentral.